AAUAUGGAAGCGACUUUGGAACUGGGUAACAAGCAGAUUUGGAACAGUUUGGAGGGCUCAGAAGAAGACAGGAAAUUGUGGGAAAGUUUUGAACUUCGUAGAGGCUUGGAGGGCUCAGAAGACAGGAG
Molecule: long non-coding RNA, 128 nt
Organism: Sapajus apella (tufted capuchin)
Lineage: Eukaryota; Metazoa; Chordata; Mammalia; Primates; Cebidae
Exons: 4
Source: RefSeq, a predicted model, not a curated record